RNAcentral lists this long non-coding RNA (657 nucleotides) under Fukomys damarensis (Damara mole-rat). RNAcentral's name for it is "lncRNA (ENSFDAG00000032350.1)". The record is from RNAcentral. Lineage: Eukaryota; Metazoa; Chordata; Mammalia; Rodentia; Bathyergidae.
CUGUGUCCAGGCAUUUCUGUGCUCCCUCUGUAAAGCAGGGAAGAUGAGUGGACGGGGUGGUGUGUGAUACAGUGCCUGGAGCUGCAGACAAACCUGGUCUAAGGUAAGAGAAAGGCACAGGACACAGCCUAAGCUCUAGGAGAAAAUGAGCUUCUGGAAGACAAUGCUUGUGUCCAAACGCCGGCUCCAUUCUAGUAAUAAUGCUCAUAUGAAUGUCUCCUCACCAGGACCAUGACAGGAAAGCUGUGCCCCCCCAAAAGCUUCAAUGAACCUCAAAGAAAGACCAGAGUCACCAAACAAGGAACUAGAAAAGCUGUCUAAUGGCACUGUACAGGUCCCCUGCCGCGUUGCACCCCAGCUGCAGCCCAGAUCCUCGAUCAUCUCUGUCACCAGCUUCAGCCUGAGCUGCUCCUGGGUGCCUAGCCAGUCUCCUCUUGGAAAGGAUGGGGUCCGCAGACCCUUUCCAACUCCGGAGCCUCUCCCACAUGUUAGACGCACUAAUGUACCAUUAUUAGCAGAGCAGAACACUGGCUUCAAUAGUUCAAGUAUCUGGUACAAGCUAUUUGUUUCCAAUGAUUUCAUCUGGAAAAGUGAAUAUUCUCAAAGGAAGAGAUAGAGAUCAGUAAAUAAAGUGACUUAUCUCUCUGGAACAUUGUG